GCCCCUGUAGCUCAGUGGAUUAGAGCAGCGGCCUCCGGAGCCGUGCGCGCGAGUUCGAGUCUCGCCAGGGGUA
RNAcentral lists this transfer RNA (73 nucleotides) under Chloroflexota bacterium. Its description in RNAcentral is "Chloroflexi bacterium (freshwater metagenome) tRNA-Arg". It matches the Rfam family "tRNA". From Rfam's summary of the family: Transfer RNA (tRNA) molecules are approximately 80 nucleotides in length. Their secondary structure includes four short double-helical elements and three loops (D, anti-codon, and T loops). Further hydrogen bonds mediate the characteristic L-shaped molecular structure. tRNAs have two regions of fundamental functional importance: the anti-codon, which is responsible for specific mRNA codon recognition, and the 3' end, to which the tRNAs corresponding amino acid is attached (by aminoacyl-tRNA synthetases). tRNAs cope with the degeneracy of the genetic code in two manners: having more than one tRNA (with a specific anti-codon) for a particular amino acid; and 'wobble' base-pairing, i.e. permitting non-standard base-pairing at the 3rd anti-codon position. Lineage: Bacteria; Bacillati; Chloroflexota. The record is from RNAcentral. RNAcentral also lists the same sequence under 3 other names.